Schistocerca gregaria is the source of this 1608-nucleotide RNA transcript. It is a transcript of the gene named 26S proteasome non-ATPase regulatory subunit 10-like, with no coding region annotated. The record is from RefSeq and is a predicted model, not a curated record. The transcript has 5 exons. Lineage: Eukaryota; Metazoa; Arthropoda; Insecta; Orthoptera; Acrididae.
CGGGCCUCAGCUGUUUGUGCCGCGCGGAGGAGCUGCGCGGUCGACAGCGCUAAACCUAGACGUCUACUAGCUUUUCUCCCGUGGGAUACUACACGAAGACUUGCAGCCACCAUGGCGGAGAGGCCCCACGGCUACGACGGCGGGCCCCUUGUUGUAGCAGCACCACCCGAUGCAGCUGCCGUCUCUCGCAUGCGGAGCCUUUCUAGUGCGGAGAGAAUCAGGAGACUGUCGCAGGCAGUAAGAGAUGGAGCUGUGGAAGAUGUGCGGGUGUUGCUGGCGGCAGAUCCACAAAUGGAGAGCGACAAACACAUCAAGAUGGCCCUGCGCAGGGCAGCAGGCAAGGGACAUGUGGAGGUGGUGAGAUGCCUGCUUGAGAGUGGGGUGGAUGUGGACGCCAGGUCCAAAAAGCUCACCACACCUAUGCACAGGGCUGCAUGGAAUGACCAGGCAGCCGUGGUGCGGCUACUGGCAUCAUACGCUGCAGACCCCAAUGCCAUGAGUGAGACUGGGAGGACGCCACUGCACUGCACUGCACAGAAUGGCUCCACUGAGGCAGCUGUUGCACUGCUUGAGGUGGGAGCUGACAGGACUGCCAGAGAUCACGAGGGGUACACCCCCUUUGACAUAGCCAGGGAGUGCAACAACGAGCAGAUCAUACACAUUCUAUCAAAAAGACUGCUGCUGGCCAGACAUUUGUUGUUGCACUUGAGGCAACGGAGAGACCUUCAACUAUGAAUGCAACAAGAGAACAACACAAUUCACACAAAAUGGGACACAGAUGAGGUGGUAAUGAAAAUCGCAAAAGUACAUGAAAAAAAGUGCUUUACUUUGGCCCAUAAAGAAAAGACCCGUGCUGCCUUCCUAGCCAAGGUCCUGGUGGAAGUGGUUUGCCAUUGCCUUCCUCCAAUAGGGAUGAAUGAUGAUGAUGAUGAAGACUACACAACAACACCCAGUCAUCUCGAGGCAGGAAAACCCCUGACCCCGCUGGGAUUCGAACCCGAGACCCCGUGCUCGGGAAGCGAGAAUGCUACCGUGAGACCACGAGCUGUGGACCCUCUACAGGAUACGGACCUACUAAAAUCGUUGUAACUUACCCUAAAGCUCAUUGGCUGUUUGAAAUCGCAGUGAUGUAAGUAUUGAAAAGAUUGGGUCAGUGCACUAGAAUAUGUUGCAGUAGCCUGUUGUAUGUGAACUGUUAAAUAGAUGCACUGCACUUUCAAAUAAUCCUAUGAACUAGUGUAUGUCCCAGGUCAUGAGGACGCUGAAGAACUAGGUAAGCGAAAACCUGACACCGACUUGUUUCCAAGAAGGGGUUUUGAAUUGGACAGGGUGUGGUGAAAUCUACAAGGAGCCUAUCACAGAAGACUGGAUCAAGUGUAAUAUUUGCUAGCAGUGGUGGCAUUAAGGAUGCACAUGUUAUGAAGGACAUAGUGAAAUUUCUUGUGAUUUAUCUUAGUGAGUACUCUUUAACAACAUGUCAUGUAAUCUUAGAUGACACAGCUGAAAGUAUGCAUGAACAGAAUGUUUACUUUAUUGACAUUUAAGCUUUGUGCUAAAAGUUUCACACGUGUAACUGAAAUAUGUUGUUCCUAAAUAACCCACCAGUAA